GCCCCAGACUCCUACGGGAGGCAGCAGUGGGGAAUAUUGCACAAUGGGGGAAACCCUGAUGCAGCGACGCCGCGUGAGUGAAGAAGUAUUUCGGUAUGUAAAGCUCUAUCAGCAGGGAAGAUAAUGACGGUACCUGACUAAGAAGCCCCGGCUAACUACGUGCCAGCAGCCGCGGUAAUACGUAGGGGGCAAGCGUUAUCCGGAUUUACUGGGUGUAAAGGGAGCGUAGGUGGCAGGGCAAGUCAGAUGUGAAAGCCCGGGGCUCAACCCCGGUACUGCAUUGGAAACUACCGGACUGGAGUGUCGGAGGGGUAAGUGGAAUUCCUAGUGUAGCGGUGAAAUGCGUAGAUAUUAGGAGGAACACCAGUGGCGAAGGCGGCUUACUGGACGAUCACUGACGCUGAGGCUCGAAAGCGUGGGGAGCAAACAGGAUUAGAUACCCAGUAGC
RNAcentral lists this ribosomal RNA (448 nucleotides) under uncultured bacterium. Its description in RNAcentral is "bacterial SSU rRNA". It matches the Rfam family "Bacterial small subunit ribosomal RNA", at positions 328 to 794 of the family's 1533-position model. The record is from RNAcentral.